This 1870-nucleotide ribosomal RNA is filed under the name seawater metagenome. RNAcentral describes it as "bacterial LSU rRNA". It matches the Rfam family "Bacterial large subunit ribosomal RNA", at positions 561 to 2421 of the family's 2925-position model. The record is from RNAcentral.
UACACGUAAGGAGUCGUCGGCAGCGUCAGAUGUGUAUAAGAGACAGGUAUAAUGGGUCAGCGACUUACAUUCAGUAGCAAGCUUAACCGAUAGGGAAGGCGUAGCGAAAGCGAGUCCUAAUAGGGCGUCCUAGUUACUGGGUGUAGACCCGAAACCAAGUGAUCUAUCCAUGGCCAGGAUGAAGGUGCCGUAACAGGUACUGGAGGUCCGAACCCACAAAUGUUGAAAAAUUUGGGGAUGAGCUGUGGAUAGGGGUGAAAGGCUAAUCAAACUUGGAGAUAGCUGGUUCUCUCCGAAAACUAUUUAGGUAGUACCUCGUAUCUUACUCUCGGGGGUAGAGCACUGUUAUGGCUAGGGGGUCCUUAAGGACUUACCAAACCAUUGCAAACUCCGAAUACCGAGAAGUACAAUUACGGGAGACAGACAGCGGGUGCUAACGUCCGUUGUCGAGAGGGAAACAACCCAGACCGCCAGCUAAGGUCCCAAAUAUAUGCUAAGUGGUAAACGAAGUGAGAAGGCCCAGACAGCCAGGAGGUUGGCUUAGAAGCAGCCACCCUUUAAAGAAAGCGUAAUAGCUCACUGGUCGAGUCGUCUCGCGCGGAAGAUGUAACGGGGCUAAGCAUAUAACCGAAGCUGCGGAUGCAUAUUUAUAUGCAUGGUAGGAGAGCGUUCUGUAAGUCUGUGAAGGUGUUCUGUGAGGAAUGCUGGAGAUAUCAGAAGUGCGAAUGCUGACAUGAGUAGCGAUAAAGGGAGUGAAAGGCUCCCUCGCCGAAAGCCCAAGGUUUCCUGCGCAACGUUCAUCGGCGCAGGGUGAGUCGGCCCCUAAGGUGAGGCAGAAAUGCGUAGCCGAUGGGAAACAGGUUAAUAUUCCUGUACCUCAAUUUAAUGCGAUGUGGGGACGGAGAAGGUUAGGUCAGCCAGGUGUUGGAUAUCCUGGUUCAAGCAUGUAGAUAGAUUUCUUAGGUAAAUCCGGGAAGUCAAUAUCAAGAUGUGUUAACGAGUGAACUUUUGUUCAUGAAGUGAUUGAUACCACGCUUCCAAGAAAAGCCACUAAGCUUCAGUUAGAUUGAGACCGUACCGCAAACCAACACAGGUGGGCAGGAUGAGAAUUCUAAGGCGCUUGAGAGAACUCUGGAGAAGGAACUCGGCAAAUUUGUACCGUAACUUCGGGAUAAGGUACGCCCCAGUAGGUUGUAGCAUUUUACAUGCGAAGGCCGAUGGGGUUGCAGUGAAAUGGUGGCUGCGACUGUUUAUUAAAAACACAGCACUGUGCAAACACGAAAGUGGACGUAUACGGUGUGACGCCUGCCCGGUGCCGGAAGGUUAAUUGAUGGGGUUAGCGCUUGCGCGAAGCUCUUGAUCGAAGCCCCGGUAAACGGCGGCCGUAACUAUAACGGUCCUAAGGUAGCGAAAUUCCUUGUCGGGUAAGUUCCGACCUGCACGAAUGGCGUAACGAUGGGGGCGCUGUCUCUACCCGAGACUCAGUGAAAUUGAAAUCGCCGUGAAGAUGCGGUGUAUCCGCGGCUAGACGGAAAGACCCCGUGAACCUUUACUAUAGCUUCACAGUGAACUUUGAGCAUGUUUGUGUAGGAUAGCUGGGAGGCUUUGAAACCAGGACGCCAGUUCUGGUGGAGCCAACCUUGAAAUACCAGCCUGACCUGUUUGAGGUUCUAACUUCGACCCCUUAUCGGGGUUAAGGACACUGUGUGGUGGGUAGUUUGACUGGGGCGGUCUCCUCCCAAAGCGUAACGGAGGAGCACAAAGGUGGGCUAAGCAUGGUCGGACAUCAUGCGGUUAGUGUAAUGGCACAAGCCCGCUUAACUGCGAGACAGACACGUCGAGCAGGUACGAAAGUAGGUCAUAGUGAUCC